RNAcentral lists this ribosomal RNA (1187 nucleotides) under Acinetobacter johnsonii. Its description in RNAcentral is "bacterial SSU rRNA". It matches the Rfam family "Bacterial small subunit ribosomal RNA", at positions 74 to 1255 of the family's 1533-position model. The record is from RNAcentral. Lineage: Bacteria; Pseudomonadati; Pseudomonadota; Gammaproteobacteria; Moraxellales; Moraxellaceae.
GGUAGCUUGCUACCUGACCUAGCGGCGGACGGGUGAGUAAUGCUUAGGAAUCUGCCUAUUAGUGGGGGACAACAUUCCGAAAGGAAUGCUAAUACCGCAUACGCCCUACGGGGGAAAGCAGGGGAUCUUCGGACCUUGCGCUAAUAGAUGAGCCUAAGUCAGAUUAGCUAGUUGGUGGGGUAAAGGCCUACCAAGGCGACGAUCUGUAGCGGGUCUGAGAGGAUGAUCCGCCACACUGGGACUGAGACACGGCCCAGACUCCUACGGGAGGCAGCAGUGGGGAAUAUUGGACAAUGGGCGAAAGCCUGAUCCAGCCAUGCCGCGUGUGUGAAGAAGGCCUUUUGGUUGUAAAGCACUUUAAGCGAGGAGGAGGCUACUUAGAUUAAUACUCUAGGAUAGUGGACGUUACUCGCAGAAUAAGCACCGGCUAACUCUGUGCCAGCAGCCGCGGUAAUACAGAGGGUGCGAGCGUUAAUCGGAUUUACUGGGCGUAAAGCGUGCGUAGGCGGCUUCUUAAGUCGGAUGUGAAAUCCCUGAGCUUAACUUAGGAAUUGCAUUCGAUACUGGGAAGCUAGAGUAUGGGAGAGGAUGGUAGAAUUCCAGGUGUAGCGGUGAAAUGCGUAGAGAUCUGGAGGAAUACCGAUGGCGAAGGCAGCCAUCUGGCCUAAUACUGACGCUGAGGUACGAAAGCAUGGGGAGCAAACAGGAUUAGAUACCCUGGUAGUCCAUGCCGUAAACGAUGUCUACUAGCCGUUGGGGCCUUUGAGGCUUUAGUGGCGCAGCUAACGCGAUAAGUAGACCGCCUGGGGAGUACGGUCGCAAGACUAAAACUCAAAUGAAUUGACGGGGGCCCGCACAAGCGGUGGAGCAUGUGGUUUAAUUCGAUGCAACGCGAAGAACCUUACCUGGUCUUGACAUAGUAAGAACUUUCCAGAGAUGGAUUGGUGCCUUCGGGAGCUUACAUACAGGUGCUGCAUGGCUGUCGUCAGCUCGUGUCGUGAGAUGUUGGGUUAAGUCCCGCAACGAGCGCAACCCUUUUCCUUAUUUGCCAGCGGGUUAAGCCGGGAACUUUAAGGAUACUGCCAGUGACAAACUGGAGGAAGGCGGGGACGACGUCAAGUCAUCAUGGCCCUUACGACCAGGGCUACACACUUGCUACAAUGGUCGGUACCAAAGGGUUGCUACCU